ACUCUCCCUCCCCUUCCCUCCCCCACACUCGGCCCCGUCAGCUUGGGGGUGCCUUCGUCGCGCAGCCUCGCGUCGGCCCGGCCCGGCCAGGCCAGCGGGCAGAUGCCCCGAGCUGCCGCCGCCGCCGCCGCCGACUCGGCCGGUGGCGGUGUGGGAGGUGGGCGACCAGCCCGGGGCCGCUGAGUGUGACGGACGCAACUGGGGGCGCCGGGGGCUCCGCACGGACCAUGUAUUUUCUGAGCGGCUGGCCCAAGAGGCUGCUGUGCCCUCUGGGGAGCCCGGCCGAGGCGCCUUUCCACGUUCAGUCCGACCCGCAGAGGGCUUUCUUCGCCGUGCUGGCCGCGGCCCGCCUCAGCAUCUGGUACAGCCGACCUAGUGUGUUAAUUGUAACCUACAAGGAGCCUGCAAAAUCAUCUACUCAGUUUGGAUCCUACAAGCAAGCUGAAUGGAGGCCAGAUAGUACCAUGAUAGCUGUAUCAACGGCAAAUGGAUACAUCUUGUUUUUUCAUAUUACAUCUACAAGAGGGGACAAGUACCUUUAUGAACCAGUGUAUCCCAAAGGAAGUCCACAAAUGAAGGGGACACCCCAUUUUAAGGAAGAACAGUGUGCUCCAGCAUUAAAUUUAGAGAUGAGGAAAAUACUGGAUUUACAAGCACCCAUCAUGAGUUUGCAGUCUGUGUUGGAAGAUCUCCUGGUUGCUACUUCUGAUGGACUUCUUCAUCUUAUUCACUGGGAAGGAAUGACAAAUGGAAGGAAAGCCAUUAAUCUUUGCACAGUACCCUUUUCAGUAGACCUGCAGUCAUCGAGAGUAGGUUCAUUCCUGGGCUUCACAGACGUACACAUCAGAGACAUGGAAUACUGUGCCACACUUGAUGGGUUUGCUGUUGUAUUUAAUGAUGGUAAAGUUGGAUUUAUUACACCAGUGUCAAGUAGAUUUACUGCAGAGCAGCUUCAUGGAGUUUGGCCACAAGAUGUUGUUGACGGAACGUGUGUAGCAGUAAAUAACAAGUAUCGACUAAUGGCAUUUGGCUGUGUGAGUGGUUCUGUGCAGGUCUAUACAAUAGAUAACAGCACUGGAGCCAUGCUGCUAUCUCAUAAAUUAGAGCUAACAGCAAAACAGUAUCCUGACAUUUGGAAUAAAACAGGAGCUGUUAAAUUGAUGAGAUGGUCUCCUGACAAUAGUGUUGUAAUAGUGACCUGGGAAUACGGAGGCCUUUCUUUAUGGAGUGUUUUUGGAGCACAGCUGAUUUGUACACUUGGAGGAGAUUUUGCUUAUAGGUCUGAUGGCACCAAAAAAGAUCCCCUUAAGAUCAACUCUAUGAGCUGGGGUGCAGAAGGCUAUCACUUAUGGGUAAUCAGCGGAUUUGGUUCUCAAAACACUGAAAUUGAGUCUGACCUCAGGAGUGUAGUUAAACAGCCCAGCAUCCUGUUAUUUCAGUUUAUUAAGAGUGUACUCACUGUAAACCCUUGUAUGAGUAACCAAGAGCAGGUGUUGCUUCAGGGUGAGGAUCGCUUGUACUUGAACUGUGGAGAGGCUUCACAAACCCAGAAUCCCAGGAGUUCUUCAACACACUCUGAGCAUAAGCCCAGUCGAGAAAAGAGCCCAUUUGCAGAUGGAGGUUUAGAGUCUCAGGGAUUAAGCACUUUACUUGGACAUCGGCAUUGGCAUGUUGUACAGAUUUCCAGCACCUAUCUAGAGAGCAAUUGGCCUAUACGGUUUUCAGCUAUUGAUAAGCUUGGACAGAAUAUUGCUGUGGUUGGCAAGUUUGGUUUUGCACAUUACUCUUUACUCACCAAAAAAUGGAAACUUUUUGGAAACAUUACCCAGGAGCAAAAUAUGAUCGUGACAGGUGGCUUAGCCUGGUGGAAUGAUUUUAUGGUCCUUGCGUGUUAUAACAUAAAUGACCGUCAAGAAGAGCUUAGAGUAUACUUGCGAACAUCAAAUCUGGACAAUGCCUUUGCUCAUGUCACCAAAGCACAAGCAGAAACAUUACUGCUUAGUGUCUUCCAGGACAUGGUAAUAGUAUUUAGAGCAGACUGUUCAAUAUGCCUUUACAGUAUUGAAAGAAAAUCUGAUGGUCCAAAUACUACUGCUGGUAUUCAAGUUCUUCAGGAGGUUUCCAUGUCACGCUACAUUCCUCACCCUUUCCUGGUGGUAUCUGUCACUCUGACAUCAGUGAGUACAGAGAAUGGAAUCACCUUGAAAAUGCCACAGCAGGCUCGUGGUGCAGAGAGCAUUAUGUUAAACCUGGCAGGACAGCUCAUCAUGAUGCAGAGGGACAGGUCAGGCCCACAGAUCCGGGAGAAGGACAGUAACCCUAAUAACCAAAGGAAACUUCUGCCAUUCUGUCCUCCUGUUGUACUAGCCCAGUCUGUUGAAAAUGUCUGGACAACGUGUCGAGCAAAUAAACAGAAACGUCACCUUCUGGAGGCCCUCUGGCUGAGCUGUGGUGGUGCAGGGAUGAAAGUCUGGCUCCCUCUCUUCCCUAGGGAUCACCGCAAGCCCCAUUCCUUCUUGUCCCAGCGGAUCAUGCUGCCUUUCCACAUCAACAUUUACCCGCUAGCUGUUCUGUUUGAAGAUGCUUUAGUCCUUGGUGCUGUCAAUGACACUUUGCUCUAUGAUUCUUUAUAUACUCGGAACAAUGCUAGAGAACAGCUGGAGGUGCUCUUCCCUUUCUGUGUUGUGGAGAGAACCUCUCAGAUCUACCUCCACCACAUUCUACGUCAACUUCUGGUCAGAAACCUUGGGGAGCAAGCCUUGCUCUUGGCCCAGUCCUGUGCCACAUUACCUUACUUCCCUCAUGUGCUGGAGCUCAUGCUCCAUGAAGUACUGGAAGAAGAAGCUACCUCACGGGAGCCCAUUCCCGACCCUCUGCUUCCCACUGUGGCUAAAUUUAUCACUGAGUUCCCCCUCUUCCUGCAGACAGUUGUCCAUUGUGCCAGGAAGACCGAAUAUGCCCUGUGGAAUUACCUUUUUGCAGCUGUUGGAAACCCUAAGGACUUGUUUGAGGAAUGUUUGAUGGCUCAGGAUUUGGACACAGCUGCCUCUUACCUUAUUAUCUUACAGAAUAUGGAAGUCCCUGCAGUAAGUAGGCAACAUGCUACCCUUCUAUUCAACACAGCACUAGAACAAGGCAAGUGGGACCUUUGUCGACACAUGAUUCGAUUUCUUAAAGCCAUUGGCUCUGGAGAAUCUGAGACACCUCCAUCCACACCCACAGCUCAGGAACCCAGUUCAAGUGGUGGAUUUGAGUUCUUCAGGAAUCGAAGCAUCAGUUUAUCCCAGUCAGCUGAAAAUGUUCCUGCCAGUAAAUUCAGUUUACAGAAAACACUAAGUAUGCCAUCUGGUCCCUCUGGAAAAAGAUGGAGCAAAGACAGUGACUGUGCUGAGAACAUGUAUAUUGACAUGAUGCUCUGGAGACAUGCUCGGCGCCUCUUAGAAGAUGUGAGGUUAAAGGACCUUGGCUGCUUUGCAGCCCAGCUGGGCUUUGAACUAAUUAGUUGGCUAUGCAAGGAACGUACCCGAGCUGCCCGGGUAGACAACUUUGUAAUAGCCCUGAAGAGACUCCACAAAGAUUUCCUGUGGCCACUUCCAAUCAUCCCAGCCUCUUCUAUCAGUUCUCCUUUCAAAAAUGGAAAAUACCGAACUGUGGGAGAGCAGCUGUUAAAGUCUCAAUCAGCUGACCCAUUUUUAAACCUUGAGAUGGAUGCUGGCAUCUCCCACAUCCAGCGAAGUCAGAGCUGGCUCAGCAACAUUGGCCCCACCCAUCAUGAGACAGACACAGCUUCAUCCCAUGGACCACAAAUGCAAGAUGCCUUCUUGUCACCUUUAUCUAAUAAAGGUGAUGAAUGCAGUAUUGGUUCAGCCACAGACUUGACUGAAAGUAGCUCCAUGGUGGAUGGCGACUGGACAAUGGUGGAUGAAAAUUUCUCUACACUCAGUUUAACUCAGUCAGAGCUGGAGCACAUUUCCAUGGAGUUGGCCAGUAAAGGGCCUCAUAAAUCCCAGGUCCAGCUUCGGUAUUUGCUACACAUUUUCAUGGAGGCAGGGUGCCUAGACUGGUGCAUCGUUAUAGGCCUGAUUCUUAGAGAAUCCUCAAUAAUCAAUCAGAUUUUGGUUAUUACACAGUCUUCAGAGGUAGAUGGAGAGAUGUUACAGAACAUAAAGACAGGGCUCCAUGCAGUGGACCGAUGGGCCUCUACAGACUGUCCUGGAUAUAAGCCAUUUUUAAACAUCAUUAAGCCACAACUGCAGAAGCUCAGUGAGAUAACAGAAGAGCAGGUCCAGCCAGAUGCCUUCCAACCAAUAACUAUGGGUAAGACUCCAGAACAGACUAGCCCCCGGGCAGAGGAGAGCAGGGGCUCCUCCAGCCAUGGAAGCAUCCCCCAGGGUGAAGUUGGAAGCAGCAAUAUGGUCAGCCGGAAAGAGGAGGACACAGCCCAAGCAGAGGAGGAAGAACCUUUUCGGGAUGGGACUUACGACUGUUCUGUGUCCUAACAGUGAGGUUCCAUCACAAAGGGGCAGUAUUAAUUAGCAGCAGCGUGCAACUCAGUACGUUGUAACAUAGUUGGAUGAUUUAACAGAACUCAGUUCAGAGACUCUUUGAUUUAGAAUGACAGCAUCAAGAGUUGGCAACAUCCUAGAUGGCUGACAGUAAAAUACUGGAGGAAACAGCCCAUGUCGAUGACAUGGAAAAUGUUCAAAAUAUAAUGAAGGAAUGACAGAAAAUUAUGUAUACCUUAAGAUACCUACCAAGCAAACAAAAUUUUACAUUUAUAUCUCCUACAUUUAGGUCUUUGAUCCACUUUGAGUUAAUCUUCAUAUAUGAUAUGAAAGAGAGAUCUGACUUCAUUCUUCUAACAUGUGGCUAUUCAAUUGUCAGAGCACCAUUUAUGGAAAGGAUUUUUUUCCCAUUGUCAAAAAUCAACUAUAGAGGUAUGGGUUUAUUUAUAGAUUCUUAAUUGUAUUCUAAUGAUCUAUAAUAUCUUCUUAUGCCAAUACCACAUUGCCUUGAUUUCUGUUGCUUUGUAGGAAAUUUUGAAAGUGAGAGUCCUAAGUUUGUUUUUUCUAGGCUGUUUUGGCUAUUCUAGGUCCCUUGUAUUUCCAUAUGAAUUGCAGGAUCAGCUUGUCAAUUUCUAUACUAAAAUAAAGGCAGUUGGGAUUUUCAUAAGCGUUGUAUUCAUGACAUAAAGCAAUGUGGAGAAUAUUGCCAUAUUAAGCCUUCCAGUCCAUGAACAUGAGAUGUCUUUCCAUUUAUUGGGUUUUUAAUGUCUUUUAACAGUGGAUUAUAAUUUUUGCUAAGUCUCAUACUUUUGUUAGAUUUAUUUCUAAGUAAGUAUUGCUACUGCAAAAAAAUGGAAUUUCCUGUUUUUGGAUUGUGUAUAUAAAUACAAUUGCUUCUGUAUAUUGACAUUGCAUCAUGCAACAUCAAACAUUUUCUUUUUUGUGGAUUCCUUAGGAUUUUCUACAUUGAAGGUCAUGUUGUUUGCAACCAGAGAUAGUUUGAACUCUUCCUUUUCAAUCUGGAUGCCUUUUCUUUCUUUCUCCUGCCAAACUGUCCUGGCUAGAGCCACUAGUACAAUGCUUAUUAGGUGGCAAUAGUGGAUAUCCUUGUCUUCUGAUCUUAGGGAGAAGCUUUCUCUCAUCACUAAUUAUGAUGCUAGCUGUGGGUUUUUUAUUGAUAAGCUUUAUCUGGUUGAGGAUGUUGCCUUCUGUAUAGUUUGUCUUUUACAAAAUCCAAAUCCCUUCCAUGAUAAAAACACUCAACAAACAAACAUACAUUGCAUCUACUGAAGUAGUCAUGUGGUUUUUGUCCUUUAUUCUAUUAAUAUGGUACAUUACACUGAUUUUCAAAUGUUUUUAAGACAGAGUUUUGCUCUGUCACCCAUGCUGGAAGGAAGUGGCGCAGUCAUGGCUUGCUGCAGCCUCAAGCCAUGACCUCCUGAGCUCAAGCCAUCCUCCUACCUCAGUUUCUAUAGUAGUUGGGCCCACAAGCACACACCACCAUGCCCUGCUAAAUUUUGUGUUUUUAGUAGAGUCAGGGUUUUGCCAUGUUGUCCAGGCCAGUCUCAAACUCCUGGGCUUAAGCAAUCCACCCACCUCGGCCUCCCAAAGUGCUGAAAUUAAGCAUGUGCCACCGCACCUGGCCAACUUUCUGUUAAACCAACCUUGCAUUCCUGGCAUAAAUUCCAUUUGGUCAUGCUGUAGAGCCAAAUUGGAGAAAAAAGAAAUUAUUACCAACAUGUUAUGUUUUUACAAGUCAAAUAUGGAAGUAUAAGUGUCAAAAAAUACACUGAGACACUCCAAAAAUCCCUACGUAUUUCAACUAAAAAGAGACAUUAAGAGCCAUAACUGGGAUUGCUGGCAAGAUGGCUGAAUAGGAACAGCUCUGGUCUGCAGCUCCCAGCGAGAUCGACACAGAAGGCGGGUGAUUUCUGCAUUUGCAGCUGAGGUACCUGGUUCAUCUCACUGGGACUGGUUGGACAGUGGGUGCAGCCCUGUGAGGGUAAGCCAAAGCCAGGGUAGUUUGUUGCCUCACCUGGGAAGCGCAAGGGGUCGGGGAACGCCUUCUCCCAGCCAAGGGAAGCCAUUAGGGACUGUUAGGGACUGUAUCUUGCAAUCCAGCCCAGAUAGAUACUGUGCUUUUCCCACAGUCUUUGCAACCCACAGACCAGAAGAUUCCCUCCAGUGCCCACGCCACCAGGGCCCUGGGUUUCCAGUACAAAACUGGAUGGCUGUUUUGGGCAGACACAAAGCUAGCCGCGGUUUUUUUUCCAUACCCCAGUGGCACCUGAAACACCAGUCAGAACCAUUCACUCCCCUGGAAAGGGGGCUGAAGCCAGGGAGCCAAGUGGUCUGGUUCGGUGGGUCCCACCCCUACAGAGCCCAGCAAGCUAAGAUCCACUGGCUUGAAAUUCUUGCUGCUGGCACAGCAGUCUGAGCUUGACCUGGGAUGCUCCAACAUGGGGGGGGAGGGGCAUCCACCAUUGCUGAGGCUUGAGUAGGCAGUUUUACCCUCACAGUGUAAACAAACAAAGCCACUGGGAAGUUCAAAAUGGGUGGAGCCCACUGCAGUUCAGCAAGGCAACUGCAGCCAGAUUGCCUCUCUAGAUUCCCUCCUCUCUGGGCAGGGCAACUCUGAAAAAAAGGCAGCCCCAGUCAGGGACUAACAGAUAAAACCCCCACCUCCCUGGGACAGAGCACUUUGGACAAAGGGCAGUUGUGGGCGCAGCUUCAGCGGACUUAUUUAAACGUCCCUGCCUGGCAGCUCUGAAGAGAGCAGCGGAUCUCCCAGCACAGCAUUUGAACUCUGAUAAAGGACAGAUUAACUCAUCAAGUGGGUCCUCCCAGUAGGUGCCAACAGACACCUCAUACAGGAGAGCUCUAGCUGGCAUCUGGCGGGUACCCCUGUAGGACGAAGCUUCCAGAGGAAGGAACAGGCAGCAAUCUUUGCUGUUCUGCAGCCUUCACCAGUGAUACCCAGGCACACAGGGUCUGGACUGGACCUCAAGUCAACUCCAGCCAACCUGCAGCAGAGGGCCUGAAUGUAAGAAGGAAAACCACCAAACAGAAAGGAAUACUAUCAACAUCAACAAAAAGGACGUCCACUCAAGAGAACCCAGCUGAAGGUCACCAACUUCAAAGGUAGAUAAAUCCACGAAGAUGAGGAGAAAACAGCACAAAAAGGCUGAAAAUUCCAAAAAGCAGAUCACCUCUUCUCCUCCAAAGGAUCACAACUCCUUGCCAGCAAGGGAACAGAACUGGACAGAGAAUGAGUUUGACAAAUUGACAGAAGUAAGCUUCAGAAGGUGGGUAAUAACAAACUCCUCCAAGCUAAAGGAGUGUAUGUUCUAACCCAAUGGAAGGAAGCUAAGAACCUUGAAAAAAGGUUAGACGAAUUGCUAACUAGAAUAACUAGUUUACAGAAGAAUAUAAAUGACCUGAUAGAGCUGAAAACAACAGCACGAGAACUUCAUAAAGCAUACACAGGUAUCAAUAGCCGAAUUGAUCAAGUGGAAGAAAGGAUAUCAGAGACUGAAGAUCAACUCAAUGAAAUAAAGCAAGAAGUCAAGAUUAGAGAAAAAAGAGUGAAAAGAAACAAACAAAGCCUCCAAGAAAUAUGGGACUACGUGAAAAGGCCAAAUCUACAUUUGAUUGGUGUACCUGAAAGCAACAGGGAGAAUGGAACCAAGUUGGAAAACACUCUUCAGGAUAUUAUUUAGGAGAACUUCCCCAACCUAGCAAGGCAGGCCAACAUUCAAUUCAAGGCAGGCCAACAUUCAAUUCAGGAAAUACAGAGAAUGCCACAAAGAUACUCCUCGAGAAGAGCAACCCCAAGACAGAAUCAUCAGAUUCACCAAGGUUGAAAUGAAGGAAAAAAUACUAAUGGCAGCCAGAGAGAGAGGUCGGGUUACCCACAAAGGGAAGCCCAUCAGCCUAACAGUGGAUCUCUCAGCAGAAACUCUACAAGCCAGAAGAGAGUGGGGGCCCAUAUUCAACAUUCUUAAAGAAUUUUCAACCCAGAAUUUCAUACCCAGCCAAACCAAGCUUCAUAAGCAAAGGAGAAAUAAAGUCCUUUACAGACAAGCAAAUGCUGAAAUGUUUGUUUGUCACCACCAGGCCUGCCUUACAAGAGUUCCUGAAGGAAGCACUAAACAUGGAAAUGAACAACCAGUACCAGCCAUUGCAAAAACAUACCAAAUUGUAAAGGCCAUUGAUGGUAUGAAGAAACUGCAUCAACUAACGGGCAGAAUAACCAGCCAGCAUGAUAAUGGCAGGAUCAAAUUCACACAUAACAACAUUAACCUUAAAUAUAAAUGCGCUAAAUGCCCCAAUUAAAAGACAUAGACUGGCAAACUGGACAAAGAGUCAAGACCCAUCAGUGUGGUGUAUUCAGGAGAUGCAUCUCACAUGCAAAGACACACACAUGCUCAAAAUAAAGGGAUGAAGGAAUAUUUACCAAGCAAAUGAAAUGAAAA
Molecule: RNA transcript, 8980 nt
Organism: Pan troglodytes (chimpanzee)
Lineage: Eukaryota; Metazoa; Chordata; Mammalia; Primates; Hominidae
Gene: RIC1
Gene name: RIC1 homolog, RAB6A GEF complex partner 1
Exons: 28
Source: RefSeq, a predicted model, not a curated record